UGAUGUUAUCAUACCAGCACCAAUGCACCGUAUCCCAUUAGAACUCUGCAGUUAAGCGUGCUUGGCCGAGAGUAGUACUAGGAUGGGUGACCUCCUGGGAAGUCCUCGUGUUGCACUUU
Molecule: ribosomal RNA, 119 nt
Filed under: Cajanus cajan (pigeon pea)
Lineage: Eukaryota; Viridiplantae; Streptophyta; Magnoliopsida; Fabales; Fabaceae
Source: RNAcentral